RNAcentral lists this transfer RNA (90 nucleotides) under Chloroflexota bacterium. Its description in RNAcentral is "Chloroflexi bacterium (bioreactor metagenome) tRNA-Ser". It matches the Rfam family "tRNA". Rfam says of the family: Transfer RNA (tRNA) molecules are approximately 80 nucleotides in length. RNAcentral also lists the same sequence under 2 other names. Lineage: Bacteria; Bacillati; Chloroflexota. The record is from RNAcentral.
GGAGGGAUGGCAGAGUGGACGAUUGCGGCGGUCUUGAAAACCGCAGUGGGCUUCGGCUCACCGGGGGUUCGAAUCCCUCUCCCUCCGCCA